UACGAGAGGUCCAAACGUUAUUCGGAAUCACUGGGCUUACAGAGUUCGUAGGCGGUACGGAAAGUGGGGUGUGAAAGCCCUCGGCUCAACCGAGGAACUGCGCUCCAAACUACCGUGCUAGAGGAAGAUAGAGGUGAGCAGAACUGAUGGUGGAGCGGUGAAAUGCGUUGAUAUCAUCAGGAAUACCGGAGGCGAAGGCGGCUCACUGGGUCUUUUCUGACGCUGAGGAACGAAAGCUAGGGGAGCGAAUGGG
This 253-nucleotide ribosomal RNA is filed under the name uncultured bacterium. Its description in RNAcentral is "partial 16S ribosomal RNA". It matches the Rfam family "Bacterial small subunit ribosomal RNA", at positions 524 to 776 of the family's 1533-position model. The record is from RNAcentral.